Molecule: ribosomal RNA, 305 nt
Filed under: uncultured bacterium
Lineage: Bacteria
Description: bacterial SSU rRNA
Rfam family: Bacterial small subunit ribosomal RNA
Source: RNAcentral
CCUACGGGAGGCAGCAGUGGGGGAUAUUGCACAAUGGGGGGAACCCUGAUGCAGCGACGCCGCGUGGGUGAAGGAGCGUUUCGGCGCGUAAAGCCCUAUCGGCAGGGAAGAAGAUGACGGUACCUGACCAAGAAGCCCCGGCUAACUACGUGCCAGCAGCCGCGGUAAUACGUAGGGGGCAAGCGUUAUCCGGAUUUACUGGGUGUAAAGGGAGCGUAGACGGCUAAUCAAGUCAGAAGUGAAAACCCAGGGCUCAACCUUGGGACUGCUUUUGAAACUGAGUAGCUAGAGUGCAGGAGAGGUAA